AGCAGCCGCGGUAAUUCCAGCUCCAAUAGCGUAUAUUAAAGUUGUUGCGGUUAAAAAGCUCGUAGUUGAAUUUCGGGAUCAAUACGUCGGUCGUGCUUCGGUACGUACUGGCGUCAUUGAUUUCUCCUUUCUGAAGAACCAUGAUGUCAUUUAUUUGGUGUCAUGGGGAAUCAGGACUGUUACUUUGAAAAAAUUAGAGUGUUUAAAGCAGGCUCACGCUUGAAUACAUUAGCAUGGAAUAAUGAAAUAGGACGUUUGAUUCUAUUUUGUUGGUUUCUAGGAUCGACGUAAUGAUUAAUAGGGAUAGUUGGGGGCAUCAGUAUUCAAUUGUCAGAGGUGAAAUUCUUGGAUUUAUUGAAGACUAACUACUGCGAAAGCAUUUGCCAAGGAUGUUUUCAUUAAUCAAGAACGAAAGUUAGGGGAUCGAAGACGAUCAGAUACCGUCGUAGU
This 450-nucleotide ribosomal RNA is filed under the name uncultured Glomeromycotina. Its description in RNAcentral is "SSU rRNA". It matches the Rfam family "Eukaryotic small subunit ribosomal RNA", at positions 569 to 1024 of the family's 1831-position model. The record is from RNAcentral. Lineage: Eukaryota; Fungi; Glomeromycota.